RNAcentral lists this long non-coding RNA (556 nucleotides) under Cyanistes caeruleus (blue tit). Its description in RNAcentral is "lncRNA (ENSCCEG00000010724.1)". Lineage: Eukaryota; Metazoa; Chordata; Aves; Passeriformes; Paridae. The record is from RNAcentral.
AUGGAAUUUCAGUGUCUGGAUUUCUUUAGUUCAACUUUUCCAUUCUUCAGACUUGAGCCAAGUGAGCGAUUUCAAAUUACCCAGCACUUUCCAGAGAUGGAGGUUGAAAGAGAAGAAGGGAAUCUGCCAGGUGGCUGCAUUCUGAAAAACAGGCCUUGUUUUCCUGUCCCGUUUUGCAGCAGUCCUGUGUGUGGGAGAAGUACAACUGGGGGACACCUGAUGAAAAGAGGUGCUGGAACAACUGGCCUUCAGCUCUGCCACCUUCCUUUGGUGCUUGCAAAAAAAAAAAAAAAAAAAAAACCAACAAAAAAGACAAAAAAAUCCAAGCCAAAGGUAGUUUAUGUGCAGCUCAGGAAGCUCUCAGCAAUGAGUGUGUCUGUGAUUUAAUAACACAUCUACCCAAAAUGACACUUCUAAUACUCACUGAGAAAAAGAAGGCAUAGCAGCACACAAGGCACUGCUAUUGCAGCAACAAACAGCCAAACUACCAGGCAUUUAUUUUUCAAUGUACACAAUUACUGAAGGAGAAUAAAAAUUGUUCUUUGACACUCUGACA